GAUGAACGCUGGCGGCGUGCUUAACACAUGCAAGUCGAGCGGGCAAUUUAUCUAGCACUGAUUACUUCAAAUGGAAAUCAUAAGUGUAAUCAUGAAUUUCUACCUUUAAUAAAGAAAAAGAAAUUCAUGUACGCAAAUAGUGAUAACACAUUUUAGUGAAGUGAUGAGUGCUGGAUAAAUUGCUAGCGGCGGACGGGUGCGUAACACGUGGGUAACCUGCCCCUAUCACUGGGAUAACACACUGAAAAGUGUGCUAAUACCAGAUAAUAUAAGCUUUUGGCAUCAUUAGCUUAUCAAAGAAUUUCGGAUAGGGAUGGGCCCGCGUCUGAUUAGCUAGUUGGUGAGGUAACGGCUCACCAAGGCAACGAUCAGUAGCCGACCUGAGAGGGUGAUCGGCCACACUGGAACUGAGACACGGUCCAGACUCCUACGGGAGGCAGCAGUGGGGAAUAUUGCACAAUGGGCGAAAG
Molecule: ribosomal RNA, 470 nt
Filed under: uncultured bacterium
Lineage: Bacteria
Description: bacterial SSU rRNA
Rfam family: Bacterial small subunit ribosomal RNA
Source: RNAcentral